Molecule: ribosomal RNA, 466 nt
Filed under: uncultured bacterium
Lineage: Bacteria
Description: partial 16S ribosomal RNA
Rfam family: Bacterial small subunit ribosomal RNA
Source: RNAcentral
GACGAACGCUGGCGGCGUGCUUAACACAUGCAAGUCGAACGGAAAGGCCCUGCUUGCAGGGUACUCGAGUGGCGAACGGGUGAGUAACACGUGGGUGAUCUGCCCUGCACUUCGGGAUAAGCUUGGGAAACUGGGUCUAAUACCGGAUAGGAGCCAUCUUUAGUGUGGUGGUUGGAAAGUUUUUUCGGUGUAGGAUGAGCUCGCGGCCUAUCAGCUUGUUGGUGGGGUAAUGGCCUACCAAGGCGGCGACGGGUAGCCGGCCUGAGAGGGUGUACGGCCACAUUGGGACUGAGAUACGGCCCAGACUCCUACGGGAGGCAGCAGUGGGGAGUAUUGCACAAUGGGCGCAAGCCUGAUGCAGCGACGCCGCGUGGGGGAUGAAGGCCUUCGGGUUGUAAACUCCUUUCGCUAGGGACGAAGCUUUGUUGUGACGGUACCUAGAUAAGAAGCACCGGCUAACUACGUG